Molecule: ribosomal RNA, 497 nt
Filed under: uncultured bacterium
Lineage: Bacteria
Description: partial 16S ribosomal RNA
Rfam family: Bacterial small subunit ribosomal RNA
Source: RNAcentral
GACGAACGCUGGCGGCGUGCCUAAUACAUGCAAGUUGAGCGCUGAAGGUUGGUACUUGUACCAACUGGAUGAGCAGCGAACGGGUGAGUAACGCGUGGGGAAUCUGCCUUUGAGCGGGGGACAACAUUUGGAAACGAAUGCUAAUACCGCAUAAAAACUUUAAACACAAGUUUUAAGUUUGAAAGAUGCAAUUGCAUCACUAAAAGAUGAUCCCGCGUUGUAUUAGCUAGUUGGUGAGGUAAAGGCUCACCAAGGCGAUGAUACAUAGCCGACCUGAGAGGGUGAUCGGCCACAUUGGGACUGAGACACGGCCCAAACUCCUACGGGAGGCAGCAGUAGGGAAUCUUCGGCAAUGGACGAAAGUCUGACCGAGCAACGCCGCGUGAGUGAAGAAGGUUUUCGGAUCGUAAAACUCUGUUGGUAGAGAAGAACGUUGGUGAGAGUGGAAAGCUCAUCAAGUGACGGUAACUACCCAGAAAGGGACGGCUAACUACGUG